This is a non-coding RNA of Physcomitrium patens, 2470 nucleotides long. The record is from RefSeq and is a predicted model, not a curated record. NCBI's taxonomy places the organism in Eukaryota, Viridiplantae, Streptophyta, Bryopsida, Funariales, Funariaceae.
UUUCACGUCUUCGCCCCAGUACUGUUGCGCCUCCGACAUCCUGUAGCAGUUCCGAUACUCUCCCCGACUGUCAAUGUCGGAGGAAACUUGUAAGCAUGGUUUCACUGUGGAUUCACGGAUUCCGAUAUAACACCUCACACGCGGAUCCAAUCGAUGCUUGCGACUUCUCUCGUUUGGAGUCGGCAAUUAUUCUUCCGUGUUUCGAAACUGUAGCAAAUCCGAUAUUCACCAGCCCGAGCCCUGACGAGAAUCGGAAGCUCGAUGUGCGGUUUUUUCUCCAAUUUUGUUACGUUUGAGCCGGCGCUUCUUGCCUCACUUCUGGGCACUCCGAGGAUUAGGGUUGUAGGGUUGCUCGCAGAUAUGGUGAGUCUGGCACGCUUCCAAGCACGGACGUCGAGGUUGAUUUGGAAAUGGUGAGAAGAAGUGAAUGCAUGAACCAGUAAACAACCCGGUGGUUAGAACUUUGCUUUGACGUACUUUUGUGCUGUGGGCAAGAGUUGGAGGACGGGGUCACAAGAUUGUUGCAUCAACGGGGUCAACACACUAAGGACAGGGGAUGAGUGUCGAAGGAGGAUAGAUACGGUUACGAAAUCGUUGAAGACAAUAAAUCAGGUUUGUGAGAACAAGAACAAGGAGUUCAGGCAGUUGACGCCAGAGGACUUCAGAGACAGGAAGCUGGCUGCUCAGAUUACAGAAAGUCUGUACGAUUGUUUACUCGAGUAUUGCCGACCCAGAUCAAAUAAGAGGAUGAGGAACCAAGGAGGUGGAAAUCCCGUAGAGAACGGGGUUACGUUUGUGUCUGGUUCGUCAACGUCCGAGUCUACAGACUUCGUGAUAACAAGUGAUGAAGCCAGCCAGAGUGAGACACCACUGAGGGCAAAUGCAGUUGUGGUACGUUUCCUGUACAAUGCUAUGGUAUUGAAGAUGAUGCUGUGCAUGCUUGUGUGGAUGAUUACAUGCCAGGGCAUAAAGCAACAAGAGUAUAUUCUUCCUUCAAAAUUGAUGUGCUGAUGACGAAUGAGCGUGUAGGAUGAAACUGUGUUGAUUGUAAAUUUGUUUGUUCGAGUUUAUUGAGGGGGAGGGUUGUGUGCAACAACCAUAUCAAAAUUGUUCAGUCCUGCUUUGGACGCGAUUGUUCGUCCUGGUCAUUUUACCAUUCACCUUAUUCUGGUUGGUGACAUUUGGGGAUGAGUCUUCAUGGCCUGAUACUGGUGUAUGAUUGAUUUCAGACUUUUGUUUUGAUUGUAGGUUGUUUUUUCUUUUUUCUUCUAUGUGUUGAUUUUGCAAUCUUCUUUUUCUUCUUCUUCGUCUGGUUAUCGUUUUUUUCUUUUUUCUUUUUUUUCUUUUUUUGUCGUUUGACACCUCUUUUUUUUUCUUUUUGUUUAUCUGUUCAGUUUUGCCUUCUUUCCCAGUGACUUCUGUGGGCUCUUUUUAUUUCAUCCCUUCAGUCGCUUCAUUCCAUCCACUCUUUGCUUCGCUUCUUUUUGUGUUCUCCUGGGUUGUUUCUCCUUUUAUUUUGGGUUCUUCAAUUGAUGAUGUGGAAACGGAAGCGGAAUCGGGAGCAAAAUCAGGAGCGAUAUGCAGAGCAGUUGCGGCGCGGGAAUUUGGUUGUACGCGGCGAGGUACAGCUGGGCAUGAAGGAGAGUCGUGAGGAGUGCCUCCGUCGUGGAGAGGUGUGACUGAUGUCAUGUUCAGCCACCAGCUCGAGAUCUUUUUCUUUUUCCAAAACGGUGCUACCAGAGCCAUGUGAUGACCCCACCGUUCUCGGGAUGAUGUGGCAUCUACGUGGCACCCCUGAGUCUCUGCAUUCGUCAGCAGCGGUGGAGCCCAUGAGUUCUGUGCCGACAUCGCGUGUAUCGCAUCUCCUUCACGCCUCUGCUUCAUCGGAUGGAGCUCCCUGUGCUGGUGCGGGACACGUUGGCUCACGCGAGCUGGUGCCAAGUACGGAGGACUGGACUGCCGCUUUCGAGCGCUGGUAUAUGGGAGAAAUAGAUUUCAACGAUCUUCCACCACUAUCGCACUAAGAUUAUUGCUUCGACAGCAGCGGGGAGGCCGGUUAAUUAAGCUUUUGCGCACUCUCAAAAUUCUGAAUGAUUUGCUGUUCUCAGCUAUGUGAGUGGAAUUCGGAGGUUUCUACUUAAGUAUGGUAACAGUUCGAGUCUGAAGCGUAUUGGUCCAGCUAUCUACAGUUAUCCCAUUCCAUCCGAAUCAUCGGCGAUAGAAAUCGUUUUUUAGAUAGUAUUGUUCUGUAUUUUUAGAAUAAGAGCUGACAGACGCAUACAUAUUCCCUAGAUCUGAAAUUUUCAGAGGUUGCUUUUACCUGAGAUGGUAGAUGUAUAAGGGAAGUCAGCCAAAUUUGUCUAUACAUAAGCGCUGGUGACAACCUCUAACAGUGAAUAAACACUUGUCUUCAAGUCUUGUUGAUAUUGUUAAUUGUCAAAUAGAAUAAUAUGCACCAAAUUGAUAUUCA